RNAcentral lists this ribosomal RNA (247 nucleotides) under uncultured bacterium. RNAcentral describes it as "partial 16S ribosomal RNA". It matches the Rfam family "Bacterial small subunit ribosomal RNA", at positions 86 to 334 of the family's 1533-position model. The record is from RNAcentral.
AGAUGGCGACCGGCGCACGGGUGAGUAACACGUAUCCAACCUGCCGAUAACUCGGGGAUAGCCUUUCGAAAGAAAGAUUAAUACCCGAUGGUAUAAUCAGACCGCAUGGUUUGAUUAUUAAAGAAUUUCGGUUAUCGAUGGGGAUGCGUUCCAUUAGGCAGUUGGUGAGGUAACGGCUCACCAAACCUUCGAUGGAUGGGGGUUCUGAGAGGAAGGUCCCCCACAUUGGAACUGAGACACGGUCCAA